This 342-nucleotide ribosomal RNA is filed under the name Triticum aestivum (bread wheat). RNAcentral's name for it is "partial small subunit ribosomal RNA". Lineage: Eukaryota; Viridiplantae; Streptophyta; Magnoliopsida; Poales; Poaceae. The record is from RNAcentral.
AUGUCUUCAAGUGUUCCUUGUAAACCACUCCUGGGGAAAGAGAGGAACUCUAACGAGGUAGCAUCGAAGAGUUCAUCUGGGAGAGUCCCGAUGAGGUUGUUGUGGCCAACCUUGAGCAUUCUGAGCAUGGUGCAGCUACCUAGUUCAGGUGGAGAGCUCAAGCACAGCCAAGGAUGGAAAGCUGGUGCAAAAAUGAGUUGGCAGUUGCCCAGUAAAGCUGUUGUUGCUGGCGUUGAGUGUGACCAGGUCUGUCAUGGCCUCCCAUGUGGAGGGUGGAAAUUGUCCUGUAAACAAAUUGCUCGAGAUGUUCAGCACCUUCAGUGGUCGGGCAGGCAUAGAUGA